CCUACGGGUGGCAGCAGUGGGGAAUAUUGGGCAAUGGGCGCAAGCCUGACCCAGCAACGCCGCGUGAAGGAAGAAGGCUUUCGGGUUGUAAACUUCUUUUGACAGGGAAGAGUAGAAGACGGUACCUGUCGAAUAAGCCACGGCUAACUACGUGCCAGCAGCCGCGGUAAUACGUAGGUGGCAAGCGUUGUCCGGAUUUACUGGGUGUAACGGGCGUGUAGCCGGGUUGACAAGUCAGAUGUGAAAGCCUGCGGCUUAACCGCAGAACUGCAUUUGAAACUGUUGAUCUUGAGUACUGUAGAGGCAGACGGAAUUCCUGGUGUAGCGGUGAAAUGCGUAGAUAUUAGGAGGAACACCAGUGGCGAAGGCAGUCUGCUGGACAGCAACUGACGGUGAGGCGCGAAAGCGUGGGGAGCAAACAGGAUUAGAUACCCUUGUAGUC
This 442-nucleotide ribosomal RNA is filed under the name uncultured bacterium. Its description in RNAcentral is "partial 16S ribosomal RNA". It matches the Rfam family "Bacterial small subunit ribosomal RNA", at positions 338 to 795 of the family's 1533-position model. The record is from RNAcentral.